Molecule: ribosomal RNA, 349 nt
Filed under: Schizorchis sp. 1 HMT-2017
Lineage: Eukaryota; Metazoa; Platyhelminthes; Cestoda; Cyclophyllidea; Anoplocephalidae
Description: partial small subunit ribosomal RNA
Source: RNAcentral
UAUGUGUUUAACUAUGGCAUUAGAAAGUUACUUUGAGUUAGCUGCAUAAAAUAAUUUUAUGGUUUAUGUGAGAUUUUAUAUAUUCUCGAGUCAUUAGCAGUUAGUUUUUUAUUGGAAUAAGUGUUUCUUAAGAAUAUUUUAGAGUUAAAGGGGAGAGGACACAGUGCCAGCAUCCGCGGUUAAUCUGUUUUCUUUGCUUUUUGGUAGACUAGUUUUGAGUAUUUAUAGCUAGAAUUGGGUGAAAUCUUUCUAUUAAUAUAUUUUAUACUUAAUUAUUAAUAAAUAAAUUUUAUGACAGGGAUUAGAUACCCCAUUAAUUAAUUAUUAUAAUUUGUCUUAGUUUUAUAAC